Molecule: non-coding RNA, 74 nt
Organism: Aedes aegypti (yellow fever mosquito)
Lineage: Eukaryota; Metazoa; Arthropoda; Insecta; Diptera; Culicidae
Source: Rfam
CCUCUCAUGGCGUAGUGGUUAACGCGCCCCAACUAGAGAUGGGGGAGUCGUGAGUUCGAUUUUCACUGAGAAGA